RNAcentral lists this long non-coding RNA (236 nucleotides) under Lathyrus oleraceus (garden pea). Its description in RNAcentral is "Pisum sativum (pea) long non-coding RNA (PSAT_LNC038809)". Lineage: Eukaryota; Viridiplantae; Streptophyta; Magnoliopsida; Fabales; Fabaceae. The record is from RNAcentral.
GCACAACAGACAUAUUAUAUUACACUAACAAAUAUACAAACAUUAAAUAUAUAAAUAUAUACACAUAAAAAUUAGGUUAAACCCACUGAGGACUACUCCCCAGUAGAGUCUCCACUUAAUUUCUAUAGUGGUAAAUUCAUGACCAUCAAGCUAUGGAUAAGCUUAACAUCAAUGAAACCAAGGUCGUCACCGUGAUUUUAUUGUUUCCAAAGGAAAAGGAAAAAGUACGAACAAAA